GGGAGUAGCUUUGUGUGGAGGGCUGCCUCUGCUAUCACCACAAAAUGACAGACCUUUCCAUUAACUGGUGCUGAACAGGCAGAAGAGCCAUCACUCAUUUGGCUGGGGGUGUCCUACAGGAGCAGAAUCUUCACGAGGCGCACAGAAGUCUGAUUCCUCAGCAGCCUGGCAACCGUGGAGAGGUGGGAAAGGAAAGACUAUUUCUGGUUUCAGCUGCUAGACUGGGAUAUGCAUUCUUACAUAAGCAAGGGUCAGAAUAAAAUCUUUCAAAAGAUUUCUUGGGAACUGAGAUAAGAGCAGAUUUGCGUCCCUUAUCAGUGGGUCUUUAGCUCCAUGGUGCACAUGCUACGAAAACUCUGUCAAGGUUGCAAGAUGGAACAGCGAUGUUUCUUGAUUCAUUUUGCUGAAGCCUCAUCAAGUCUGUCUCAAAGAACUCUUCCUUAGUUACAGUGAUGUUAUAUAUAAUAAAAUUUAUAUAUAUAUAACAUUGAUAAAUGGAAAUAAUUAAUGGCAGCUAGCAUUUAUUAAGUCUGUACUAAAUGCUAGGAGGACACUAUGCUAAGUAAGACUUCAGAUGCAUCAUCAGAUUUCAUCUUGGCAACACCCUUAUGGAGUAUGCGCUAUUAUCAUCAACAUCGCACAUCUUGAAUAACUAAGG
This is a non-coding RNA of Sus scrofa (pig), 658 nucleotides long. The record is from RefSeq and is a predicted model, not a curated record. Lineage: Eukaryota; Metazoa; Chordata; Mammalia; Artiodactyla; Suidae.